ACCAUUUCCUUCAAACCCUAAAAUUAUUGAUUCCCCAAAUUUCGAUCUAUCAAGCCCUAAAUCCAAACUUUCCACAAUUUCGAUCGAACCCUGAAGUCAAUCUCAUUCGAGCCCUAAAUCCAAUUUCUCCCCAAUCUCAUUCUCUCUCCCUGCCCCAAUCCUUUUCACCAGCCUCAAUCUCUUUCAGCUCCAGCGAUGCCUCCGAAGUCAGCCCGCCUUCGCCAACAACAAGCUCGGCGAGAAGCAACCGACUUAUAAGCCCUACUCAACGGCACAUCAGAGCUGCCGUCUCAUCCACCCUCUAACGCACAAUCGGCUUCUCCUCCGCCGCCUCCCACCAUAAACCGCAACACCACCACCACCCAAUCUCUGUCUCCUCCGCCGCCUCCCCCACUCCUCAACACCACGACCAGACAAUCUAUGUCUCCUCAGCCCUCCAAUGCACCACAAUCAGCUUCUCCUCUGCCGCCACCCAUAAUAAACCCCAAUACCACCACUGCCCAAUCUUUGUGUCCUCCGCCGCCUCCCUACUCCUCAGCACCAUGACCAUGCAAUCUCUGUUCCUCCGCCGCCUCCCCCACUCGGCAACACAAAACUCGUGGCCAGCUCCGCCACGGCAGGAGAAGAUGGCCCCAUCGCAGCCCUACUCAGCAUUCGGUGCAAGAACGCAAAAGGUGGUGAAUUUUUAAUUUUUUGGAAAUGAGGAUGCAAUGCUUCUGGGAAUACAGUUCUGGUUUUGUUGCUAGUUUAAAUAUUUUGUUGAUUCGGUAUUUGUAAAGUUGAGUCAUUUAUACUGAUUCGAAUGAGUUGGAGAGCUUGUAGCUUCUAGGAAUUUUAUUCUUGAACAUCAUUUCAGUUUUUGUAUAAGAUAGGAGAGCUUUUGCCAAUUUGGGUCAUUGAAUGCUUAGUAUAUAUAAUGUAGAAAGGUUUGAGAUUUAGUAAAACUAUUAAUAUAAUAUAGUAGAUGAUAUUAUCUCGAACUGAAUGUGGGAUUGGUAUGUAAUGUCAAGUGUUGAGAUUGUAGAUGAGGACAUUAGGUUGUGGAAAGCUUUAGGUUGUCUUGGCUUGGUGGAUUUUGGCUUUUGAAUGCAAGUGGUCAUGAUAACAAAUUUUGGGAUAUUACAGUAGCUUGAGAGAAUGACAUAGUUGGGGGCUGAUUUGUGUAGUCUCAACUAUUAUAAAUUUGGAAUUUCAAAAUGGGGGUGUAGUUCUGAAACGUCAUGUCGUGAUAAGCAACAAGAUGUCACAGAUAAUGAAGGCCAUUGGAGGAAAGGUCAAGCUUGUGUGGUCGGAUUUCCACGGCGAACCUCGCACAAGUGAUAACUGCAACCUCCUAGUUAGUGACAUUGGCACCACUGUCAGGGCACACAUUCCAAUGCUUGCACCCACAUUUUAUAAGCUCCAAGAUUAUUAAAAAGAGGCUGUUGAAAAAUACUUGGAGAGAUACAAUGAUUGGAAAUACAAGUGCCACAAGCAUUUUGACGAUUACAGGGAUGUUGUUCCCCUUGAAUUCAUUCACCGUCCCGAUCAAUGGGACUACUUGAUCACCAAGGAAUUCUGGGACAAAGACCAAACAAUAAGUAAUUUAUCGUAAGUGUGCACAACAAAGAAAAUCGGAACAAAAAUCCGGAGCCGCUCAAUCACAAUUCCGGGUCAAAACCUCUUAGUCAUAGGGCAUAGGAGCAUUUAAAGUAAGAACAUUCGGCCAUGUUCUGUGCAUCCGCACUGGAUGCUUAUCUACCUUGCAAGAACAAGAGAGAAAAACUGGUGAGUGUACUGAUCUUUGUCAGCAUGUUACUAUUUUGGUGUUUUAUUUUGGUUGGUUUGCUGCAUUAGUUUUCCCUAAUUUGGAAGCAUGAAUAGAAUACUUGUUUGCUCAUAUGUGGAUUUAUUAAUGAGACAGGGAAAUAUGUUGUUAAGAUGUUUGUUAAAAAUUUGUAAAACAUACUUAAAUAGUAGUAACAUGGUUGACAAAAAAAUUGAAAUGAUUGAGAGAAUAACAUAUAACAUAUAUGACUAAGAGUAAUCUUAUAUGUGCAGGGGGGUGCAAAUCCUAGGUCGCAAGGGAAACUCGUGUAUGCCCGUGCGACCUGCGGACACAAAUGCAACACUGAAUUGAGGGUCGGAAUGCAGAUUCUUUUUGCAUUUCCGAAAAUUCGGUUUGACUUUUCAAAUUCUCUUUACUGGUCAUAUUCUUCUUUUGUAACAACUGAGUUAUUGUGUGUUAUGGAGAAUUAUAACAGAGUUGAAAUCAAUGUUUGUAACAUAUGUGACUCAUAUAUGUUAUGAUAUUUUUGAUUUCUAUAACAGCCAUCUUAUUAAUUGUUGAUUGCAAAUCCUCACAGUAUAAAUAGCCAUCAUCCUUUCAUUGUAAAAUCAUCCCAUUCAAAACACAAUCCUCUCUCCACUCUCAAAAUUCUUAGAUUUUCUCUGGUGAUAGAAAGAGGUACAUUUCGAGUUCGUUGAGGGUUCUAGUUAGUAGUGCAAUUUCCUAGAAUCGUUUAGUCGUUAUAUCCUGGGAGACAAGCGCCAAGCAUCCUUGCACCGGUAGAGGAGGCGUAGACGUCUUAAGGACAAUGUGGUAUCACACACGUCUCGACUAGUUCUUCCAUCACCAAUCGUUCGGUAUUUUGGUUGAAUUUCUUUUCGUGUUCUUCGUUUCCGAUUUAUAAUUCGGCUUAUUAAAUUAUAUAUGCAAUAUAUCACUGUUUUUAUAACAAUCUUAAGACGUUUAAUUUUGAUAUUUCUUAUAUAAUUUGUAUUCGAUAUUUAUCUACAAUUUUUCAAGUAAACUUAUACCUUGUGUGUGUGUUUCAGUUUCUAAGAAUGACUAACGGAGAACAUUCUGGAAAUGGCAUGGGACCUUUGGUGCCAACUGUGCCUACUGCUCCCGUUGUACCUGUCUCAGUAUCCCAUGGGGAAAAACCUGAGAAGUUCAACGGUUUGCAUUUCAAGAGGUGGCAACAAAAGAUGAUGUUUUAUCUCACCACUCUGAAUCUUGCAAGAUUUUUGACGGAGAAUGCUCCUGAGUUCAAGGAAGAUGACCAUGGCGAUCAAGCAAAGAUUGCUGCUGUGAAUGCAUGGAAUAAUUCUGACUACUUAUGUAGGAAUUAUAUCAUGAAUGGUCUAGCCGACUCAUUGUACAAUGUGUACAUUAGCAUGGGAACGGCAAAGGAGCUAUGGGAAUCCUUGGAGAAAAAAAAUAUAUAUAAAACUGAGGAUGUCGACGCCAAGAAGUUUAUCGUGGGCUGCUUCCUUGAUUAUAAAAUGGUGGAUUCCAAAACUGUGAUGAGUCAAUUCUCUGAGAUUCAGCUAAUCCUGCAUGAGAUUCACGCUGAAGGAAUGCUACUAGGUGAAAGUUUUCAAGUUGCAUGUGCUAUUGAAAAGUUACCACCUGCUUGGAGGACUUCAAGAAUUAUUUAAAGCACAAGCGAAAGGAAAUGACCAUGGAGGAUCUAGAGGUUAGACUUCGCAUUAAGGAAGACAACCGAGGAUCCGAAAAGAAAGCAUGGAUCAAUGAUGUCUUUGCCAAGGCAAACAUGAUGAAACAUGGUCAAGGUUCCAAAAACAAGAAAGGCAAGUAUCAUGGGUCCAAGCUGGGGCCGAAAGGAGUCAUCUCCAAGAAGCCAAGGUUUGAAGGCAAGUGCUACAACUGUGACAAGACUGGUCACAAGUCUGUCGACUGCAACAAACCAAAGAGGAACAAAAUAAGGGAGGCAAACCUGAUUGAAGCCGUCACUCAGGAGGUUGCUGACAUGAACCUCUGUUGUAUGAUAUCGGAUGAUAGCAUGGAAAAAGUCAGUGAUUAUGACUGGGGACUAAAUGACUUAGAGCUAUGGUAUGACCAAGCCAAGUUUUUGGAUUGAUCUGUAGAACAGAACUGAAAUUAUCGAAUAAAUUGAUGUA
Long non-coding RNA from Argentina anserina (silverweed cinquefoil), 3906 nucleotides. RefSeq lists it as uncharacterized. NCBI's taxonomy places the organism in Eukaryota, Viridiplantae, Streptophyta, Magnoliopsida, Rosales, Rosaceae. The record is from RefSeq and is a predicted model, not a curated record. The transcript is spliced from 5 exons.